AUGAACGCUGGCGGCGUGCUUAACACAUGCAAGUCGAACGGUGAACUUGGGAGCUUGCUCCUGGGGAAUCAGUGGCGAACGGGUGAGUAACACGUGAGUAACCUGCCCCAGACUCUGGGAUAAGCACUGGAAACGGUGUCUAAUACCGGAUACGAGCUUCAGCCGCAUGGCUAGGAGCUGGAAAGAAUUUCGGUCUGGGAUGGACUCGCGGCCUAUCAGCUAGUUGGUGAGGUAACGGCCCACCAAGGCGACGACGGGUAGCCGGCCUGAGAGGGUGACCGGCCACACUGGGACUGAGACACGGCCCAGACUCCUACGGGAGGCAGCAGUGGGGAAUAUUGCACAAUGGGCGAAAGCCUGAUGCAGCAACGCCGCGUGAGGGACGACGGCCUUCGGGUUGUAAACCUCUUUUAGUAGGGAAGAAGCGAAAGUGACGGUACCUGCAGAAAAAGCACCGGCUAACUACGU
Molecule: ribosomal RNA, 468 nt
Filed under: uncultured bacterium
Lineage: Bacteria
Description: bacterial SSU rRNA
Rfam family: Bacterial small subunit ribosomal RNA
Source: RNAcentral